CCGAUCCCAUCCCGAACUCGGAAGUGAAACGCAGCUGCGCCGAUGGUAGUGUGGCUCAAGCCAUGCGAGAGUAGGUCAUCGCCAGGG
RNAcentral lists this ribosomal RNA (87 nucleotides) under Stenotrophomonas maltophilia. The record is from RNAcentral. RNAcentral also lists the same sequence under 4 other names. Lineage: Bacteria; Pseudomonadati; Pseudomonadota; Gammaproteobacteria; Lysobacterales; Lysobacteraceae.